UGACUUUUUCUUUGUCACGGGCAUUGGAUGUCCGCGGCGUUUGUUGUUGUGUUUUUGUUGUUUUGCGACGGGAUCCUAUGACGACGCUUCUCGGCAAGAACCAAAAACAUCUAAAGGACGCCAGAUCGCAACAAAACCUCGCAAACGGCGCGGAGCCACGGGGUAACGAUGGAGCUCGGGCGUGGGGAGACAUUCAGAGUGACGGGAGUGUUCUACAGAGCCAGCUGGUGGAAUCUCAAGAUGGCAUCAAGAGGCUGCAAGCAUCCAGCAGACGCAUUUGCGAUGUCUGCGGCCAAUUUAUCAAGACAAGAGCGAUACAGUACUCUGUGGAAGCGUCUGCUAAGAUGUGUGAGGCCUACAAGGCAUAUUUCGGCAUGCCUGUCGGGGAUCAAGAAAACCCUGGGCACCUCAUUUCACCUGCGAGCAAUGCAAAACAACUCUGGAAGGAUGGUACAGAGGAGAAAAGAGAGCCAUGAAGUUCGCUAUCCAAAAAAUUUGGCGGGAACCCACUGACCACUCAAGCAACUGCUACUUCUGCAUGGUGGACCCUUCCGGACAUUCCUUCAUCUAUCACCCCGGUGCCACACUGCCAUGAGCUCCCCGUACCCACUCCUCCGGAGCGAGAGCAGCCGUCUCUAGAAGAGAGCGGCAAGUCAGUGAGCGAGGAAGACGUUGUAGAUCCAGAUGACAAUUUCAGAGGUGGAGUUGAGGAGAGAAACCCAUACUACCCCAACCAAAAAAACCUCAACGACUUGAUCAGAGAUCUUGGUCUCACCAAGUCCGAUGCCGAGCUUUUGACGUCUAGGCUCAAACAGUGGAACUUGUUGGAUAAAUUGUGCAAGUCGCAGAUCAGAGGAAGCGUCACCAACCUUUAGCAGCUUCUUCACCCGUCAAGAUGGGAUUUGCUUCGACCACAAUGUGACCAGUCUGUUCGAGGCAAUCGGAAUCGCCUGUAACCAGAACGAGUGGCGCCUUUUCAUUGACAGCUCAUCCAGGAGCCUCAAAGCCGUGCUGCUCCAUAAUGGUAACAAGUACCCGUAUCUUCCCCUGGCUCACUCGGUACACCUCAAAGAGGAUUACAACAGCAUCAAGACCUUGCUGGACGCCUUGAAGUAUGAUGAGUACGGCUGGGAGGUCAUCAGAGACUUGAAAAUGGUGGCAUUCCUGAUGGGUCUUCAAGGCGGUUUACCAAGUUUCCCUGCCAUCUUUGCCUUUGGGACAGCAGGGACACCAAGGCGCACUACCACAGGCGGGACUGGCCACAGCGGACCGAGUUCUCUGUGGGGAGGAACAACGUCAAGUGGGAGCCACUGGUGGACACCCGGAAGGUGCUGAUGCCACCACUGCACAUCAAAUUGGGCCUUAUGAAACAAUUUGUCAGAGCUGUAGAUAAGGAGUCGGCAGCCUUCAAGAACCUUCAAUACUUUUCCCUAAGCUGUCUGAGGUAAAGGUCAAAGCCGGUGUCUUCGUCGGACCACAGAUAAAGAAGAUCCUGGAGUGCAAUGAAUUCCCCAAGAAGCUCACUAGUAAGGAGAAAGCAGCUUGGGACAGCUUUGUCGCAGUGGUUCGUGGCUUCCUGGGCAAUCACGAGGUCGAAAUCUAUGUGGAGCUGGUUGAGACUUGUGAAGAACUACGGCGCAAUGGGCUGUAGGAUGAGCAUCCUUGAUGCUCAUCUUGAUAAAUUCAAGGAGAACAUGGGAGCGUACUCGGAGGAGCAAGGCGAGCGCUUCCACCAGGAUAUACUGGACUUUAAACGCCGCUACCAAGGACAGUAUAACGAGAACAUGAUGGGAGACUACAUUUGCGGUCUGAUUCGUGAAAGUGAUUUACAGUAUAAUCGUAAAUCUCGAAAACCAUUCACUUCUAAAUCUUUUGUAGUCAUUUGUGUAUUACUUUAGUAUAAAUACAUGUUAAUUUAGAUUAAUGUUGUUUUUUCUGACUUUAUGUGAACGAAAAGACACAAUUUAACACGUAGGCUUUCGCGACCAAUAUUAUUCUGGCGAAUUGCCCGAUGAUGUUGGAUGCAAUUACCAGCGAAACGUCGUACUCAAAUUGUAAAUGUUGUGGUUUCACGCUUCAACACACCGGUGGGCAAAAGCAGUGAACUAUUUGUCUUUUGUAAACGUGACACUUUUUUACUGAUUGGCCGUGUCGGGUGGUGGAGGGUUACGACACAUUUAUAAAUAACGCGAUCUAAACCCAAAAACAUUGAUUAUGAAAAGACACAAAUUCGCCCAUUUUUUCAUUGUAAAUAGGUAAAUUAAAAAAUAUCACUGUCCUGGUCACAAAAGCAAAGUUUGUGGGGAAUAAUCGCCAAUUUCCAUACAUUUUUGGCAUAAGCAAUUACGAAAUAACACUGACUACCCAGGAACAAAAAUUGUGUCACAUCGUGUAAUGAUGUGUGUAUGGUGAUGCUGAUGUGUAUGAUGAUGGUGUGUAGGAUUUGUGUAUGAUGAUGUGUGUAUGAUGAUGGUGUGUGUAUGAUGGUGGUGUAUAUGAUGAUGAUGUGUGUAUGAUGAUGUGUGUAUUAUGAAGAUGUGUAUGAUGGUAAUAAUGUGUGUAUGAUGAGCAUCAUGAUGUGUGUAUGAUGAUGGUGUUUGUAUGGUGGUAAUGUGUGUAUGAUGAUCAUCAUGGUGUGUGUGAUGAUGGUGUGUGUAUGAUGAAGGAGAUGAUGAUGAUGCAGCGUGCGAUGAUGUUUGAGCCAGUCACUGGCACUGGACAGGGGACGACAGGACGACUCGUUCUCCUUUCGACAAGGCGAUCAUAUCGUGAAUAACCUACACCCAGUUGUCGAUCCACUGCUGGAUAAAGGCCUCCCCACACCACGCCGGUCAAUGCGGGUUGGUGAUGAACAGAGUGAACCAAAAUGGGACCUUUUUUGCCAAUAUCAGAAUAUGAAAAAAUAAGAACAGGUUUAACCCUUUCUGGAAAUACAACCGGUGGUAAGAUGUUCAAACACCAAACAGAAACCUUCUUGCAAGGAAUCAAGUCUGCAUUAACCACGUGUACUUCCGGUGACCUUGCAAACCAACAUGCUCUGAUAUUAUUUGGCAUUGUCUUUGAAUCUGAUUGGUCUACACCAAAGACACAGAAGCCUUCUCUAUAGCCGAGUCUCACCGGUGUCAGAUCAGAGAACGCCAAAAGGCGUCCAGUAUGUACAUACAAAUGUACGACGAAAAUGACUCGAUUGGUAUAUGCAGACAGCAACGUCGCCCCUGUAGUACCGGCAGGACCCUCCUGAAAAAAAAUCUUGAGACUCAGUGAAGCUUCGCUGGUCGAACAAAAGCAAAGAGAUGUCCCGUCGCCCUCUUUACUGAAACCAUCAUCGGUGGUGAUCUAUCCACUGCUGGAUGACGGUCUCCGCAAGCUAUGCGAUGUGACAAUCCACCCAGACCACACUGAUUUCAUCGCUCCAUCUCCACGAUGGAGGCCCACUACCGGGUGUGAAUUCCAAUUUGUCUGUCACUUCAUGCAAAGUAUUUGACCUUCAUACUCAUACACCCAUUCACUCUCCCACCGAGCCACUCGCUCACUCACCCACUCACUCUCCCACCGGCCCACUCGCUCACCUCCUCACCCACCCAAUUGCCAUAGCUUUGCGGUCCUCUAUAUGUGAAGGUGUUCUCGGGCAAUUGGCGACUACGCGUGUGGGAGAAAACCUUGAGCAGCUGGAGAAACCUUGAGGAGAUGAGAAAACCCACGCGGUGCGAGGGGGCAACACUCCAUCCCAUACAGACGGAACAGGUCGUGUCCACACUCUGCUGGGAAUCGAGUCUUGCAAUGUCUGCGUGUGAUCCGCCAACCCGAGCUGCUGCCUCCACAAGUGCCGCAUCACAUGGGCACUGCAGUGGCCACCACCACCAUCGAGCUAUAGACAUCCCUACAGCGAAUAA
Lethenteron reissneri (Far Eastern brook lamprey) is the source of this 3893-nucleotide long non-coding RNA. RefSeq lists it as uncharacterized. NCBI's taxonomy places the organism in Eukaryota, Metazoa, Chordata, Hyperoartia, Petromyzontiformes, Petromyzontidae. The record is from RefSeq and is a predicted model, not a curated record.